This 223-nucleotide ribosomal RNA is filed under the name uncultured bacterium. RNAcentral describes it as "partial 16S ribosomal RNA". It matches the Rfam family "Bacterial small subunit ribosomal RNA", at positions 111 to 334 of the family's 1533-position model. The record is from RNAcentral.
UAACGCGUGGGUAACCUGCCUCAUACAGGGGGAUAGCAGCUGGAAACGGCUGAUAAAACCGCAUAAGCGCACAGCAUCGCAUGAUGCAGUGUGAAAAACUCCGGUGGUAUGAGAUGGACCCGCGUCUGAUUAGCUUGUUGGUGAGGUAACGGCCCACCAAGGCGACGAUCAGUAGCCGGCCUGAGAGGGUGACCGGCCACAUUGGGACUGAGACACGGCCCAA